CCUACGGGUGGCAGCAGUGGGGAAUAUUGCACAAUGGGGGAAACCCUGAUGCAGCGACGCCGCGUGAGUGAAGAAGUAUCUCGGUACGUAAAGCUCUAUCAGCAGGGAAGAAAAUGACGGUACCUGACUAAGAAGCCCCGGCUAACUACGUGCCAGCAGCCGCGGUAAUACGUAGGGGGCAAGCGUUAUCCGGAUUUACUGGGUGUAAAGGGAGCGUAGACGGGAGCACAAGUCUGGAGUGAAAUCCCGGGGCUUAACCCCGGGACUGCUUUGGAAACUGUGCGGCUGGAGUGCAGGAGGGGUAAGCGGAAUUCCUAGUGUAGCGGUGAAAUGCGUAGAUAUUAGGAGGAACACCAGUGGCGAAGGCGACUUUCUGGACUGUAACUGACGUUGAGGCUCGAAAGCGUGGGGAGCGAACGGGAUUAGAUACCCGUGUAGUC
RNAcentral lists this ribosomal RNA (440 nucleotides) under uncultured bacterium. RNAcentral describes it as "partial 16S ribosomal RNA". It matches the Rfam family "Bacterial small subunit ribosomal RNA", at positions 338 to 795 of the family's 1533-position model. The record is from RNAcentral.